GGAGGCUUAGCUCAGUUGGGAGAGCAUCUGCCUUACAAGCAGAGGGUCAGCGGUUCGAGCCCGUUAGCCUCCACCA
This 76-nucleotide transfer RNA is filed under the name Faecalicoccus pleomorphus. RNAcentral's name for it is "tRNA-Val". It matches the Rfam family "tRNA". From Rfam's summary of the family: Transfer RNA (tRNA) molecules are approximately 80 nucleotides in length. The record is from RNAcentral. Lineage: Bacteria; Bacillati; Bacillota; Erysipelotrichia; Erysipelotrichales; Erysipelotrichaceae. RNAcentral also lists the same sequence under 38 other names.